AAGAAAAAAAAAAAGGGUCUGAUGCCUUUUUUACUUUAUUGUAAAUGUGAUGAAUUAUUUUUGAGAUGGAUUUCAUACUCUUGUCUACUUGUUGUGUUGUUAUGCCAUUGCCUAUCGCAUCCAAUGCAAAAGUAAACCAUAAAAGCAAAUGCAUGGUCCAAUAGUAAUUAGUUCUAUGAGAAGAUAUGAUGCCAUCGUAUUUUUUGUGUUAGCAAAUUUUUAUUGUUUUUUUAUUACUGCUGGCAUACUGCCUAUUCCUUUGACAAACUGCUGAUUUUGAUUUUUCUGUUUCAGACAGAAGCCUCUGCUUCCUAAUUUUGAUUCUGCAGAAACUCGUGCUUUAGCUGAGAGCUUAUGUAGGUAUGGUUGACUGUUACAGUUAAUGCUUUCAUAUAUGUCUGAAUAGUGAAGAUUCUGCAUUUUAACUUAUUCUUUCAUGGCUUUGUAGUAAUCAUAUUGUUUAAUAUUUUACCCUGUACAGGGAUAUAAUUCGUGGAAGUCCGGAUGUUAAGUGGGAAAGCAUCAAGGGGCUAGAGAAUGCCAAACGUUUACUUAAAGAAGCAGUUGUCAUGCCAAUAAAAUAUCCCAAGUAGGUCUUGCCCCGCCUCAUGGCCCUAGCUAUCUCUAUGCAAAUUUAUAGCAAACCUUUUACUCGUUUUACUUCACUCAAGAUGUGGCAUAGAACGUUAAGGCACAUGACAGAACACCAACCUCAGGGCUCUAUAAUGAAUCGGUACUUGUUGGAACAUUUAGAAAUUGUGUUCCAUGGAGCUUUCUAGCUUUUAAUUUGAUAUGUUAAUUGAGUCCACAAUCUCAUAAGAAAUUGCUGUUAUGUGCUUAUACUUAUCUUGUUCCUUCUUCUAGGUACUUUACUGGACUUCUAUCACCAUGGAAGGGUAUUCUUCUUUUUGGCCCACCAGGAACAGGAAAGGUUUGUGCACACACUAUCUAUUGUUAUUUUAGUCAUUUUACUUUUUUCUGUUUCAUUUUUUUUUCCAAAUCAUCUUUAAACUCCUCUUCGUUUUUUUGGUCUUUCCUUUUCGUUAGUUAUCUUGGAUGGAGCUUCUUUGCACUGUGUUGCUUUACUUAUCCACAUGAAACUGAUUUCUGACCUGAAUAAUCCUUUUGCACUUUCCUCUUCUUGUUUUUAAACCUGAUUUUAUUCAAGGAUGUUUGUAAGGUGAUUGAAAGUACUGGCUUUCUUUCUGGCUCUGUCUUUUUCUUUCUGCUUGAUAUUAUUUAAAUUAAUCACCAUUUUGAUGUCCAGACAAUGCUUGCUAAGGCUGUUGCUACAGAGUGCAAGACCACAUUUUUCAAUAUUUCAGCGUCUUCUGUUGUCAGCAAAUGGCGUGGUAAGUCACGGUUAAGCAGUUUUUUGUUAAGUUCCUAGUUUAUUUUAUCUGGAUGUUUGAGUAUGUUUAGUUACAUAGAGUAUGUACCUACUUCUUUCAAACAGUUUGGUACCUCGGUCAUAAUGAAAGCUAUAUCUACUUAUGGAGCACAUUGCAGGUGAUUCGGAAAAGUUGAUUAAGGUAUUGUUUGAGCUCGCAAGGCACCAUGCACCCUCGACUAUAUUUCUGGAUGAAAUUGAUGCAAUAAUCAGUCAACGUGGUGAAGCACGCAGUGAGCAUGAAGCAAGCAGACGUUUGAAAACUGAACUCCUAAUACAGGUAUUUUUUUCCUUUCUUGUGUGUAAUAGAUCUUUGUGCACAAUUUUGCAUUGUCAACUGCAACAAUUUAAAAGCAAUGGAUCAGAUAACCUGGUGUUGUUGUACUGACGUGGAAUUGUCUGCACUUCAAAGUUCUGUUUAAAAAUAAAAAUACAGUAGAUUUCAACUUCUAUUUUCUCAAAAAUUAUUGACUUCGAUAAGAUUGCAGAUGGAUGGUUUGACACAGUCAGAUGAACUUGUAUUUGUUUUAGCUGCAACAAAUCUCCCUUGGGAACUAGAUGCAGCCAUGCUUCGGCGUCUUGAGAAGCGGGUAUCCUUUUCAUUGAUCGCUUUAACGUGAAUUUUUGCUCAGACAAAAUAGGAUGAAUUGGUACUGGAUUUAACAAAUGAAGGUAAAGGAUCGGGUCUUAAUUUUCUGGGUUUCUGAAUGUCAAGAGAAAGGACUAUGGCAUUUAACAUGCACCAAGACUGCUAGUCCUAACUGAAUUUGUUCUGUAAAUAUCCUUGCUGAUCAAAUAUGAAUUUUUGGCUAGUGUGAUAAAGCUUUAGUUUGCUAAUGUGUAGUUUUUUCUGGUGCUAUAUUUGGUAAAGGCUUGCAGUGCUGUCCAUAUGAUUGUUGAUUUUUUGGAUGAGUACUAUUUUUCCUGUGGGAGAGCUGUGAAUUGAUUAGGUUGAUCUCAAAUAAUCAUUAUAUAUUUGGCUGAAUCCUUAUACUUAGCUACCAUGUGAAUAUUGGGUGGUAGUAUCCCUAACCUUUUCGUUCUCAGUUCUUACAUCAUUCUUCUACUUAAUUCAGUACUUCAUCUUGAUUUCAGUUUUUUGAUUAAUCAGCACAUUUUGCGUAGAUAUUAUAUGUUAUAAAAUUGUUCUCCUUUGACCAUGAUCAAUAAGAUCCUUGUACCUCUUCCGGAUACCGAAGCAAGGAGAGCCAUGUUUGAAUCGCUUCUGCCUUCACAAACUGGUGAAGAGAGCCUUCCUUAUGAUUUAUUGGUGGAAAGGACUGAAGGCUAUUCAGGUUCAGAUAUUCGGUUAGUCAGCAAAGAGGCAGCUAUGCAGCCACUGAGACGAUUAAUGGUUCUCCUUGAAGGCAGACAGGAAGUGGCACCUGAGGAUGGUAUGACUUUUCAAACUGUAUUCCUUGUACUUACAUCAUCAAUCGGCCUAGUAUCAUAGUUGGAACGUUGGAACUUUGAGUUAAACGAUUCUCACAAGAUUUUUUGCCCCUUUUUCCUCCAAAAGGGAACAUAAAGAAAAUAGGCACUUUCUGAUUAAACAAAUUAAGUGAGACUUCUCCAAUACUUGACCAUCAUAUCCCCACCCCCUCCCCCCUUCUAAUUUUCACUUUCUUAUCUUUCCAUAUAAUAUAUUUUUUAAAGGAACCUUUUCAUAUGAUUUUCAGUUCGGGACAAAAACUACUUUUUUGUAAAAAUCACUUUGCAAAGUGUUGAUCACAUCACCUUUCUUUUUUUGCUUUUUCCUGUCAUUGUUUCUCUCUCACUUGACAUCCCCUCUUGCAUCAUCAUCCUUAGCUUUUAAAGUCAACUCUGCAAAUUAUAGAACUGAAGGAUUACUCUCUUGUUUGCAGAGUUACCACAGAUUGGGCCAAUAAGACCAGAAGAUGUAGAGAUAGCUUUGAAGAACACUAGGCCAUCGGCUCAUCUCCAUGCCCACCGAUAUGAGAAGUUUAAUGCUGAUUAUGGUAGCGAAAUACUCCAAUAAAGGUACCCAAUCAGGAAUGAUCUUCUAAUGGUUAAAUAAAACCUUUCAUAAGUUGGGAAAAGGACAUCAUUCUUCUAUCUUUAGUAGGCUGGAAGUAAUGCGUUCAAUGAUUCUUUUCUUCUUUGUCUUUAAUACUGUGUGUCACAAUAUCAUUAUUUUUAGUGGUUAUUUCAUAUCACAACAUGGGCAUCUUUAUCUUGAGGCUGUUGCGAUCGAUGCGUUAUUACUUUAACCGCUUCCACACCGCCGGUGCCAUGCCAUAUUUUCCAGGGAUUAUCACAGAGGGUAAAGGCUGAAUAAGCUCUAGGAUCACCGUUUUACACCCUCUUGUAUUGUUGUUUAUGGUAAACUGGUAAAUUACAAAUUUUGAAAUAUUGGUGCGAUAUUGAUUUGAACUGCAUGAAAUGAUUUUUUUUUUAAAUUUUUUAAUUAAAAAGCAUAUCACGUUUGUAUUAUUUUUCCGUUGACAGAAUAAGCCCUAAAAAUAGUAUGUGCAGCUACUGCUAUUGCUUAAUCCCAGAAAAAAAAAAAAAAAUUUGUUCAUGCUUUAGUUUAAGACUUAAUAUUUCACUUAAAGAAAGAAAAUAAAUUUAUGAAUAUUAAAAUGUUAAAUUUUCUAAUUGAGACUUAAUAAAAUGUUACAUUUUAUCUUUAUUUUAUUUAAUGAAUAAGAAUUAAAAUCAUUACGAUUCGACAACUUCAAUUGACCUACCCAUUUAAUAAAUAUAGCAAAAACAAAAAACUACUUUAAAAUCAAGAUAUUCAGAAAAUUAAAAUUGAGGACGGGUAAUUGCGGAAGCUCAUGCAUAAGUCGUAUUCAUAAAAACAGAAAAUACGUAAUUUCAACUAAAUUGUGUUAAUUAAAUAACUGAAAUCCAAUAACAACCCCAGCACAAGCUGCUUACAGCAUGAUCAGGAAAUGACAUCCCCAAAUGGCAGAUACUUGUGACCGCAAGUUCGCAACACAAAAUGCAUGAAAAUGACAGUAACGGUAACUUCAGACAAAGGGAAGACCAUACACAGAACAUCACCAUCUUUGGGGAGUAUCUGACUACAUCUUUAGUUUAUUUAGGGAUAUCCCUUCAGAGGAUCAGCUGUUUUACCAGAUCUAGCAUCUGUCCAAGCUUUUGCAAUUGUUCGCUUCAUUUCGUCGUCACCUUCCUCGUACAUAUUCUGCAAAUUUGCAACAAAAAGAAAAAAAUGUAAGCAUUUAGACAUAAUCACAGCCAUAGAAAACACAUUCUGUUUGUGCAAGUGCCUUCACGUGAGGGUGCAGCAUGAACAGAAGGCAGCUCACCUUCAUCAAAUCCAUAAUUCCAGCCAUAGGAUCUCGUUCUUUAUCCAGAUUUGGCUUCAGCUGGAAAACAGUUGGAGAAACAGAUACAAGUUAGACUGUGUUAUCUUAUGAAAGUAUGGCACCAAAUAUCAAAUAUUCCCAUUGUAUGUGAUUACCUUAUCCUCUUUGUACUGUAAGUCUAACCAAUUUCCCUUUGAAGCUUUAAAGAGCAUGAUGACAACCCUUGUGGGUUUAACCAGCACCUUGCUUUUCUCAGGAACAAUCUCCUGGUUCAACCUUGGGAUAGUAAACCGGUAAUUCUUCCCUUGGACAUCAUGGAAUUUGACAUCAAAGGACCACUGCUUGAACUCUGCUUCCAUUUUAUCCUGGACUACUCCCUCUAAAGAAAUAUAUAUCUGCAAAUGGAGAUUAUGUAGUUUCAGGACAUGCAAAUCAUCACAAAAGUAAUGUACUCCAUGCUAAUCAAGUAGCUUUCUCUGAGAUUACAACCUGGAAUCAAAUUACAAUCAUACCUUGACUUUUUCAUUAUCCUGAUCCCAGCUGAAUGAUCCAAGCGUAAUAUAGUUGAGUGCUGGAGUAGAAGAGACCUUAGCUGGUGUUGGAACCGGAGCUGGACCUUCCACUUUUGACAACUGCAGAAUUGAAGUCAAAGAAUAUUUUAUUAAAGGCAAUACAGAAGCAACCAAAGGUACAUUUAGAAAAUCAAUCAGCCUAGGUUUUGACAGCAUGACACGUUUACACACAAAAUAUAAAAGUCAACAAGUCAACAGUCUACCAUACUACUGGGAAAGUUAUUCUCAAUCAUGAAACCAACUGCUUCAACACGAUUCAAAAUUUUCAUUUAUCAGCACCGCCAGUCUUUUAAAAUCCGGAUCACAAGUGUCAUCAGACUGGGGUAGCACCAGAGCUUCAUUUUGCCACAGCCUCAGCCUCAGCCUUUUCCUUUAAUCAGUAAAUCAUUAAACGAACAAUGGUGGUAUGGUAUCCAAAAGCUACAAGUAAGGAUUUCCAUCAUAUUAAUUCAUAAAUCCUAAAACAUGAUGCGUACCAAACACAAAAUGAUAACAAACAAUGUUAAAUGAUUCAUUUAAUAUUCUGCUACAAUUAAUCAUAAAUCAUUUUAAUAGAAUUUCCUUAUUCUUUCUAUUCAAUGAAACAUGCCAAACAGGGCGACAAGUGAAAACAUCACACACACACACAUCUCGUUAGGAAAUUCAUACUCCAAAAGCAGAAAUGAAAAACAGUAUCCAUUUACAUUUUUUUUUGGGGGGGGGGGGGGGGGGAAGAGAGAGCAAGAAAGAAAGAAAGAAAGAAAAGAAAAGCAAAAAAAAUCAAAAAUGGAAAACCAACCUUCUCCAAGGUAUGAAUCUCAGAGUUAAUAAGAGAGACGAUACGAGGUCGUUUUGCGAUGCUCCGUAGUUGUCUUAGCUCUUCCAAAUCCAGCACCAAAUCCUCCGCCAUUUCUGCCUUCUGAGUGACGAGAGCGUAGUAGAUGAAGACCGAAGGACAACAAUUACAAGCGGCUUUAAUUCUUAAAUAAGUACACUCGUUGCUUUUUGUACGUGGAAUAUGCUUGAAGCCUAUAGAGCUCGGCUCGUCUGAUAGGGAAAUUUGGAGGGGCAAAGCUAAGGCAAAAUGAUGACCAUCUGUGCUUCAAACAACUUUUAAUUAUUAUUUUCUUUUAGGGUUUUCGUUUUGAGAGAACGUUCUAGACUUCCAGAAAAUUGAACACGUGGAAAAUUUUUGUAUUCCAUGAACAGGGAUAAGAUAAAAAGCCUCUAAAUAAAAAAAUAAAAACGUUUUAUUUACAUUUAUUAUUAAUUUCUUUUAAAAAAUAAUAAUAAUAAAAUCUUUCCUAACUUUUCAGGUAAAACACUUCUUAUCACUUAUCAUUAGAAGAACGAAGCAUUUCCAUUGAGAUUUGAAAAUCCGUCAAAUUCCAAAGUUCAAAAUUUCCAUCAUAAAAAGUAAAAAAACACAAAGCAAAACUAAUCGCAGUAGAAGCAAUACAAUCCCACAACAGUACAUGGGUCUCCGUACCGUACAAUUAGGCUUUAAUUAUGACACAUGGGUUGAGAUUGCUGAUCGAUUCCUUAGCUUUGGCCUUUGAGUGAACUGGGACAGUCUUGAUUUUGUGCGUUUAAUAAAUUCUGGAGCUGCAUUUGCAACUGUGCUCUUAGCUGGUACUUAGAAGCCAAGUUUCUGUGCACGUUGUCUUUGGUAGCCAGAAGUUGAGACUUUCUCAUCUCAGCUGCAACUAUUUCAGGAUUGCUCAAAUGUCCAUUGUUGCCUUGAAGUUUCUUGAAGGUAGAAUUAAGCUAAACAAAAAAAGAUUAAAUUGAUUUAUAUCAAAUGCAUCAUUAUUCCAUCCCAUUCCCAGCUAAUCAAAUAAUUAAUUCAGCAGCUAGUCAUCUGAUAGAAUUAGAAUAAUCCCCUCAAAGUUCAGUUGCAUGAUUUUACAAGUCCAGGACUAGGAGGAGAUACAGAGAUUGGGUUGGAGCUCUAAUUUAUUAAUUAUUAUAACAAUUGAGAAUCAAACUGCAGCUCAAGUAGUAUUAGUCCCUUUUCAUAUACAUAGUAUGAUGAUAUAUUGAUGAAAGUGAAAGAAAUAAUGCAUUCACAUACAUAUAUUAUUAUUAUUAUUAUUAUUAUUAUUAUUAUAUAUAUAUAUGUGUGUGUGUGUGUGUAGAGAAGUAAAUAAAUGAAUAUAUACAUUACAGAGGUGUAUACAUAGUGAUUACAGCAUAAUCUUUUUACCUUAGAGAAUUGGUCUCUCAACUCUUCAAUUCGCAACUGACAUUCCUCGACAAAAUUCUCCACAUUUUCACGAAACUCCUUCAUUUCAUUACCUUUUAACACGUAAUACCUCUCCUUCUCUUUCUCCGUUUCCUCCACCUCCUCUAUCUCACUCUUCAAUUUCCUAAAAUUUCCAUCCCAAAUUCAAUUACACUAAAUAUUUUAUUUCAACAAUCCCCCUCAACCUUUGAAAUAUAUAUAUAUAUAUAUAUAUAUAUAUAUAAUUCGCAAAAAACUGUACCUCAGUUUUUGCGAAUGUGCUUGAUACUUGGAAUCGAGGAUCUCGAUCUCGGAUUUGAGAGUGGCAAUUUUGAAAUUCUGAGACGCAAUUUUUUGAUCGAGUAACAAACACCUUCGUUCCGUCAACCUUACACUCUCGAGCUUCGAUUCUAAAAUUUGAGACUUUUUCCCUUGCACUUCUUUCUCUGCCUGUGCGAACACACAAUAAUACUGUACCGUGUUAGUUUCUUUUCUAUUUUUCUUAAAAUAUAUUUUCUCAGUAACCGAACAGAAAUGUAAUGAAGCCCAGGGUUAGGGCUUGUGGUGAAGAUGACCUGGAGGAUUGAGAGGCGUUGGUUUCUCGUUUGUUCCAUUUGCUCUAGCCUUUCUCGAAAGGCAGAAGAGAGCGCCAUUGCCGUGCUGCCUCGAAUCGGUGAGCUGCGCUCUUCCGUGCCGUGUGAAUUCGGUUUGAAUCUUGCGGUUUAUAUACAACUGAGAUUGAACCCGGCCCAAUACUAACUCUCUCCAUCAGGGGGCCCAUGGGCUUCAUGCAUUUGUAACUUUAUUCAGACCCCACUUUUGCUCUUAUCAAGCCCGGCUACAUACUUGCCUACAUACUUGUACUAGGGUGGAGGUACUUACACCCACUAAACUAUUCAAUAAAGAGUGAUGAUACAGUCACAAAUUCUUGUAUAAACUGACGUGGCAUUAAUUUAUUGGUUGAAUGAAAAUAUAAAAUAAUAAAAACAAAUCAUGUGGGCCAAGUGAUAUUUAAUUCAAUCAAUCAUAUCAUACCACAUCAGUUUGUACAAAAUAAGUUUGUACAAGAGUUUGUGGCUAUAUCAUUACUCUUUAAUAAAACCAUCUUUGGAAAUAAAUUUUAACUACUAAAAUAUCCUAAAUCAAAUUAUAAUUAUGGACACUAAAGUAUAGAAAAAAAAAAAGAAAUUUUACUAAUUAAAUUUAUAAAAUUGCAUAAUUGCUUUCUUCUAUAGAUAAAAAAUCUCAAUGAGAAAAAACAUUAAUUUCAUACAAAUUAGUAAUGGUGAAUUCUAUAGGUAAGUAUAACAAUUGUUUGUUUAAGAAACAGAAAGGUUGCUAGAAAAUAUAUAUAUAGACAACAUGCCUCCUUUGCAGUCCAUGUCAAUGCCAAGUCUGUCUCACUAAAUUUUAAAUAUGUUUCGAAAGCCAUAACUUGAGUUACAUAUGUCCGUUUUAGGCGUAUAAUAUAUCAUUUCGAAACUUACGACGAAACAAAUCAAAUCCAAAAUCAUAUACUUCAUAAAAUCCUUGGGUUUAUGUGCGACAGGCAGUGGGACAGAUGCAUGUCUCACAUAAAUGCAGUGCGUUUAUGUGAGACAUGCACAUGUCCCGCUUGCUUGUCUGACUAGGGAUGGCAAUGGGCACCGCCCGCAGCGGGUUUGCAUCACCAAACCCAAACCCGCACAAAAUUUAAAUUACCAAACCCACCCGCAACCCGCAGCGGGUUUUAAUUUUUUUUUAAAAACCCACCCGCAGCGGGUUUUAACAAUUACCAAACCCGCAAUGGUACGCGGCUUUUUUGCGGGAUUCCGUAUUUAAAAUCACAAAUGUUUAAUAUAUAAAUUUAUAAUAAUAACCUCAAAUUCCAUAUAACAUACUCAAUUUUGUAUUUAAACAAUGUAAAUGAAAAAUUAAAAUUUCAAUAUCAAUCCAACACAAAUUCUCAAAUUUAAGUAUAAAUUACACAAAUCCAUUUAAAAAACACAAACUAGUAUCUAAAAAUAAUAAUUACAUUUCAUAUUAUCAUUUAAAACAAGCUCCGAGAGAAGAUAUCCAUUUCAUUCACCACCAUAAGCACCCAUCCAACACAAUGCCUAUAAUAAUAAUUAAGAUUAAUAUUUUUAAAUACUAAUUCGAAGGGAAAUGACUUUAGUUUUCUUUAGUUUAUGACUUUAGAAUGGGAGAUGGGCCACAUACACACAUACACAACUUUGAACCUUUGGCUAUUUGGUAAUUUGAAUAAUGACAUUAUUUUUUUUAUACAUUUUUAGAUUAAAAUUAAAUUAAAAAUAUUUGAAAAAAAUAUUGUGGGUUUGGUGGAUAUCCAUGCGGGUAUCCACUGGAUAUAAGGCUAAUAUCAAACCCACCCGCAUCCAUGUGCGGGUUUUAAUUUAUAAUACUAAAGCAGUCCGCAACGGAUAAAAUUACCCGCAGCGGGCGGGUUUUGGCGGGUGGGUUUGGGCGGGUUUGCGGGUUUGCGGGUAUAAUUGUCAUCCCUCACUUGUUCUGAACUUCAUUUUUUGCCCGAUUUUUAUGUGUUUUCAAUGAUUUUUCUUCAUUUCUCAACUCAAACUAAGUACUUUAAUAAAUCACAUUAUUUUAUGAAUGAAAAAUAACAACAUUUGCAACAAAACCCACUUUAAUUUCGAACUUAGUUGAUAAAAUCAAUAGAUUAAAGGUUUACAUUGUGUAAGAGUAUAAACUAAUUUUAAGAAGCUCUCCCAUUGAUGAUUAUAUCUUCAAUUAUGCAAUUGAUUUAUCGAGAGUGAUGAAGUUUGUUGAGAGUAAUGAAGUUUGUUGAGAGUAAUGAAGGUUUGUUAAGUUAUUGAGGAAGAUCCGUAUUUAGUUGUACUUGAAUUGAAAAAGUGGCAUGCCUUUGUAAAUUUGAUGAAAGUGAUGAGGGUAAUUUAGUCUAAAAAUAUGGUGUUUGACUAAUUAUGAUAGAAAAAACUUUAAGAGAUUAAAAUUGAAAAACGUAAAAAUUUUAUAGCCAUUUUUAUAAAUUUCCCAAAGAAUAAUGAUGGCGUGUGAGAAAGCUUUACAAUUUUUUUUUUUAAUGUUUCUAUUCUCAAAGCUUCUAGGAUUCACAACAUUAUAGGCUAGUGAAUUGUCAUGGUUGUUAGCCUAUAAAUGCGGGCCCCUUUUUUUUUUUAUGUUUCCUUAUCGUUUAAGAUCUUCUUGGUUCGCUUAAUUGCAACUGAUCAGCACGCCAGAUCCCAAAAUAGCUUUUAAAAUAUCAGUACUCUGAAUCCUUCUCAUGACGAUGCUUUCAACUUUUAAUUACCUGUUGCAAAAUUAACUUACAAGAGAAGGGAUUAUAAAAAAUCAAGACUGGAUCGCAUAAUUUGAGAUUGUAAUUGUAGCUGGGUGCCAUAAUUAAGCCACACAUUUCAAAGUGUAGUCAUAAUCUUCUGAAAUCGAGCCUCCGUACCAAGGAUUCUCAAACUAUAUAUAUAUAUAUAAUUAUAUAUUGUCACGAUGACUAAUCGCUGUCACUUUUUAUUUUUUAAAGAAUUCUGUUGUAGCAACCUAUGAUUAGUCCAAUGAUAUAUUUUCAAGAUUGAGGAUAAUGCACGGAAAGAUCGCAAAAGAUUAUUAAUCCUUUCACAUCAGUGACCUGUGAACCAAGAAAAAAAUAAAAGAAGCGUUUGUGAUAUAUUUGUUAAUUUAAAUUUCUUUCUUUCCUUCUGGGAAUUUGCUUGCUCCUGCCUGAGUUGUAAUCCUAAUUCUUAUGUCAACACCCAAGGCCAAAAGUUUGACGGAUACAAACAUAUAUGUAUAAAUAAUAAUAUCUGUUUUGUUUCACAUGUAAGUGUAUUAAUCUCAAAGAGAUUUGGAAUUGGAAAAAUAUAUUCCCCAUAAUUGUAGUGCUGUCGAUCUUGAACGUUGAAUGUCAUAGUGAUGAUACGACACUUUGAUUAUUCAAUCUAGUCACAUUUAUUAUUAGUCAUAAAAGAAAAAUGUGGAUUCGUCAAAAAAAGUUGAUUCGAUUAGUUCCAUGAGAGAUGAAUGUAUUGCUGCCAAAACAUAUCUAAAGAAAAAGGGUUUCUAAUUUCUUCGAUUAGCAGCAUACACAUGCUGAAUUACGUGUCGAUGGGACCUCUCUAUGAUGAAUCCCACUAAAACAUGUCAUCAAUUAACCCAAAAAGGAAAAAGAGAGAGAGAGAGGGACGGGGACAAAACGCCGAGUACAAGAACCUCCAUUAAUUUCAGACAAAAGUUUCUAUGUAGAAUGUUCUCAGUCUUAGCUUGUUCUUUCACUAAAAUCAUAUCGUAUAUGCAUUAUUUUCUUUUGAUUAAUCUUGAACACGCUAACGCUAUUCGGAAAUGAGCAGAUUAAUUAAAGACUUUGUUUUGAGUAGAAGUUCAAAGAUCUCAAUUUACACAAUGAUCCCCUAAUUCUUAGUGGGGUAUCAAAAACUUUUUUUUUUUAAUUUAUUGGGUAAAUUUGUGACCACAAAUUAAAAAAAAAAAAAAAACUGAUGGUGCGAUCCUUGAAAUAUCGAAAUGUUGGGCUGCAUGUGCUCCACGUUGGCUGAUCCGAAAUCGGUAGAUCAUUUAUUAAUUAUCACCAUCAGGUUUUUGUAAGGCUGAGCGUAAAUUGUCUCUCCCCAUUUCUGGAAAAUAGAGAGAGAAAGAAAAGAGAAAACAAAUCAAAAGCUCCUUUGCCAUAAAGGAGAAGAACUGGCAAUCAAUGACCAAAUGCAAAUGCUGACGGUUUAUUUUGCCAGGGAAUAAAGCUACCUUAGGCCGCCCAAAUUUCGUGCUUAGGAUAGAAAAAGAACCAAACAAAGCCUUACCUUUUGCACUUUAAUUACAUUAUCAUCAUUAUCUCCAAUUAGUUAUAUAUUUAUUUAUUUUUAUUUUUAUUUUUAUUAUUAUUAUGAAGAGAGAAAAAGGAAAGGUGAGAAAUAAACGUUCUAUAUUAUAACAACAGUUAUGGAUUCCACGUCCAAAAGUAGAGGACUUUCUUUGCAACCAAUAAGAAAUUAAGAAUAUGGUAGCCUUGCACUACUCUAUACUCUUCAAGAAAUAUAACUGUUUACAUUGCAUACUUAUAUAUCCUAAAACGAUAGAGUAAUAAUUGAAAAAACAAUGCUUUAACAAAUUACAAUAUCGAUCUAGCAUAAUAAUUACGGAUGGAAGUGCUUCUCCAAGAAAAAAUUAAGCUAAUUUUUUUCCAUUCCAAUGCCGGGAUUUGAGAAGAGUGGAGAUGAAUUUGUGACAAAUUGGUCAUGAUGGUUAGGGCAAUAUGCUUGGAGAAGGCUCAUGAGUACGAAACAAUCACCACCAACUUGGAGAUCCAGAGUGCUUUGGUAGUUGUUAAUUUCUUGUACAAAUUGGCAAAAUGGGUAUACCUUUGGUCUUUUUAAUUGGUGUUUAUUUGUCAAGUGCGUUCCAAAAUACCCAAAAGUAAAACCCCAAAUUGCCUUGCCAAAAAAGUAUUAUUUACAUGCACUCCAUUUGCUUAUAUGCUCUUCACAUAAAAGCUCGAAAGGUCAGCAAAAACACUAACAUCCAGUUCACCAAGCUUUGAUUUUCCUUGUUUGCUGCCUGUUUCACGAUAAACGUAAUCCCAUUUAAAGAGAAAAAUAAUUAGACUAAUUAUCAUUAACGAAGACAUUUAUAAAACCCUGAGCUCAAAUUUCACUAAACAUAGAGUAAUGGUACACAUUCCAAAUUUUUAUUCAAAUUUAAUUCCAAAUAAUGUGUUAUUAAUUGAGUGUUUGGAAAUUCUUUACAAGAUCCAAGAAAAUUAAUUAUAUCAUAUCACUAAUCAUUUGAUGAACGCCACAUCAUUUGAGAUAAUUUUUUAAGUUGAAAAAUUUAGAAUAUGUAACACUGCUCUACAUAUACAAUAGUUAAUUAUUGACUUAUGACAUACAUUCACAUCAAUUAAAUAUCUGCUGUCUCCAAUAACUUUAUACACUUUUGGUUUAAGAGCUAAAGAAAUUGAUGAUGUAACGGGAGAGAAAAGCGAAAAAAGACACAGAAUUGACCUAAGGUUUUACCUUAGUGGCAGAUGAAGCUAGAGAAAUUGAAGCUGAUGAUGGUGUUGAUGAUGAUGAAGGGGUUGAAAGGGCAGAGAGCCCCACAUUGUAAGCCAUAGUGCCAUCAGGUUGAAAGAGACCGUAAUUUCUUUCAGAAGUUGGCCCAGGCUUCAUAUCCUCAUUGAAUAAUGCAAACAAGUAAACUUCUAGCCUCAUAUUUGGCCUCAAUGGUGUCCCUUCAUUUGCCAUUUGCCUUCUCAACAAAUUCUUAUUGUAUGUUGCCGCAUUCACAACGGUGGCGCCGACCUCGUUGGGGUCGCCUUUCGAUGGCCACCCGGUCUCGGAAACCCUAACUUCAAUACCAUUGUACCCCAACCUAGCCAUGGCGAAAAUAGCAGCAUCCACUUGUGCGUAUAGCAUGUUGUCGUAGUGAAGUUUUGUGUAUGGAUCAACCAUGCCUGAGUUAGGAUUAAAAAGUGCAUAAUCUAAGGAAAUCCUAUUUGGAGCAUCUUUGUAUGCAAAAUAUGUAUAUGCAUUAAUCCAAAAUGGUGCCUUGGUACUUGACAAGAACUGUAAAUACUGUGACAUGAUUCCGGCAACUUCGGUUUUGAAACUACCGGCUGAAGGAGGAUAUGAUUCUUCUAAAACCGCUAAGGAAUUAGGUGUAGAAACUUGAAUGUACUUAUCAAGGCCUAAUUGAACUAAAGCACCAUGAAUGCUGACAGUGGCUGGGACAAGGUUCUGUAUCAGUGACGUGUCAUCGUCGGUGAAGACCUCGUUUCCGACUGCGAUGCCGGUGAUCUUUGUGGCCGGAAAGUAUGGCUUGAUGUGGGUGCUUACCCAUUGAAGUGCUUGUUGAGGAUCCACUAAAACAGCCAGCAUUUGGUUUUCAACAGUGACUAUAAGCUCAAUGUUGGAGUUUGCGAAUGCUGUUAAGACUUGAGGAUUUGUGUCAUAAAUUCUUGAUUUUGUGAUCUUAAGAGAGCUUAAGAGAUCAACAACCUUGUCGGGCGGCGGCAAAUUGUUAGCUACUUGUCCAUAGUUAACUCCAAGACAGGUGACUCCAAAAUCUGCAAAUUAAUUAUUAAACGACGUACAGAGAAAUCAAGAAUAAUUCAAUGGAUUAAUAUGAAAAUUAAGACAAGUUUAAGCUAUAGAAAUAAAAGCGAAAGGAAAUUACCUGAGAAAGUGAGAGAAAGUAAAAGAAAAAAUGGGAUCAAGGCAAUAUUCCUGCAAAAAGUUGCCAUUGAUUGAUUGAGAGAAGGGCCCUGCAAAUUUGAAGAUGAGAAAGGGAGAGAGGUUAGUUAUAGAGAAGUAUUGGGAGAUCCCAAAAUAAGAGGAGGACUAUGAAUUCUUUUCUUUGCUUGUUUGAAAUUUUGUUUUGUUUUGUUUUGUUUUGUGGGGGUGUGUUGGAUAGCUAGCUUGCCUUGUAAGUUGUAACCAAUGUUGCCUUUUGCUCUUACCUCUUAACCUGUCUUUAAAUGACUUGGUUUUCUCAACUUCUUCAACUCGUCAACUGGCUUUUUUAUCAAGACUACAACUUGUCUCUUUUCCAUUCCUAUUUGACAGAAUUGCCCUCAGCCACUUUCUUCAGACAAAAGCAAUGGAAUAUCCCACUAAUCAAUUAGUUAGUAAUUAGGAGGAAGCAAUUGGGGGAUCCCUACAUUUGGGGUGCGGUAAAAAUGUUAGUGCAUGAUAAUGAUAAGAGAUUCCACUUUUAUCUUAGCUAUUUUAUAUCAAUAUAUUCUCUACUACGUUUUUAGGGCAGCGGCUGGACUGUUUUGUAUUUGUGUAAAUUUUCCUAAAUAUACUUAAUUAGAAGAUGAUACCAAGCUUAAUUAAGCCUCUAGUUUCAUUCAAUAUACUAAUAAUUCGGCGCAUAAUUGAUUAGUGAAUUAAAAAAAAAAAUCCACAGGAAAACGACUUACUUAAAAACGGAAUGAAAGAGUCAUUUAAUUUGGUCAGAAGUAGAAUGAACAAAAUCGUAAAAAUGCUUUAAUUAAUGAGGAGAUGUACAAAUUAACAAGGUGUGUGACAUGGGUACGUAAUUGAGGUAAAAAUUCAAAGACAAAAAAUCUUACGUAAUUUGGCCAAAAUUGAAUUAAAGAAAGGAAACCCCAAUGAAAAGUAAAUGUUUGGUAAGCGGAUAAGGAAUGGAAUACGUGGGAAUUGUUUGGAGACGUAGGUGUCCUUAUCUUCCGGCAAGGAGGCUGCUUAUGUUUCUUUGCUUGGUGACGAUGCCAAUUGCUCUUUUCAUUCGCUAACACAUCGGACAGUCAACAAUAGUUUGUACUAACACAUAUGAAAGAGAUCAGAACUAGGCCGGCCAUCAAAAAAAGUCGAAAGAGAUUUGAAAGUUCGUGUUUUGAAUGUUCCAUCAUUUUCGGCACAUGAUAUUUAUUUUGAUGGCCGUAUUGCAGCUUAACUUUAUUAUCUUGCCUUCCAUAACAUUCUAUGCUGUUCGCUGGUUGGAUGAGGCUAUAAUCUUGCUUCUGAGUUGCUAUCUAGGACGUUGAAUGGUACAAUCGCAUCCUAAAACUGCACCGCAUUGAUUCAACUGGUGAAAAGUUUAACAUGGGAAAGGCAAGCAAAUUGAAAUUACUGAAACUGGAGAAAUAGGCACUCGUUCUGCGUUAAGGCAAUACUAGUCUACAAGAUUAAUGAGAGGCCUCUCAUUUAGUUUAACUAUGGAUCGAAAAUCCUGACCAUAUUACUAAAUAUCUCAAUCAUGCAUGUUGAUUUUUCAAUAAUAAAGUUUUUGUCUGCUAGUAUGCUAAGUAAGUUAACAUAUAUUAAGCUACCUUUUUUUUUCUUUUUGUUGGGGGGGGGGGGGGGGGGGGGGGGGGGGGGGGGGGGGGGGGGGGUGUUAUUACAGCAUAUAAUAUGUAAUUAUAUGUUUCUCAAUAUGACAUUAGAAACCCAUUCAAAUACACAUUAAUGUAAAUUGUUAAAUUACUGGCCAAUUAACUUUUAAAGGUUGCAAUCCAAAUGCAUUGUCGUACAAAAAAUUAAUCUUAACAAGAUAGACUUGGAUCUCAAAGGCAGACAAGUUGCAGUGAUGUUAGGCUUUGUAAACUGUUAACAGGCGUCACCAUAGCCAAGCAUGUGAUCGGGUGCUGGAAAAAGAGAUAAAAAGAAAGCCUAGCUGAUCACAUUGCAAAAAGGACCUUUAAUUGUUUAAAGCAUCCAUUCAUGUCAUCAAAAUCAAUUUAACAUUUCCUACCUCAUUUUCUCUGCUUUCUUAAUGAAGAAUGAAAAAGCAAACGAAGAGAGGGAGGAUAUCUUCAUAUAUUCCACAACCCAUGAACCAAAGAAAUGGAAGAGCACCAUAUAUGUCCCUUGUUAGCCGGUCAAUGCUAUAUAGCUUUUAUUUAUCCUUUUUUAUAUCCAAACAGAUUUGUUUGUGCAAGUGAGAGAUAUGAUAAAGAAGUAAAGACAUUAGCUUUCGUUAAAGAAGAAGUUGGUGCUAAAAGGAAGAAGCAUGAUGGAAGAAAAAGGAAUGGGAAAGUAAGUGAAGUGCAUGCAAAUGCAUUGCACGAAAGUUCUUCUGUUCUUGAUUAACAGUGUAUGCACAUGUAUGUGUUUUGCUCACUGACAUGCUUCUUUCCAGGAAUUUCUAUUCCUUAGAAUUAGAUUGGAUUCCAAAAAUGUAAGAAUCAUUUCCCAAUUUCCAAGAUUUUUAACCAUGUCGGGAAUCCAGAAUCUCCACCCCCCCCCCCCCCCCCCCCCCCCCCGGCCCGCAAUUUUCAUGGCUUUGUAUAAAAAGGGCGCAAGAGCUAAUUAUUAGCUGAUGAUUAUUUUGCAUAUUUGCAACAAAGGUAAUUAUCAAUUGAUAAGGCAAUUGAAAGAAACGAAAAGCAGAAAUGGUUAUUGGUUUAUGGUUAUGUAAAGGCAAAUAUUUCUUGACAAGUAAAGAGCUCUAUUAUGGUGGUCCUUUGGAAUUGGGGUAAUAGUGGACCUAGCUACAUCCAUUUGUCUAUUUUAUGCAGUAGUCAUGGUGUUGAAAUAAGAUUAUGUGGAAGUAUACAAAUACAAAAUACUAUAAAUUAGAUGUAUCUUGUAAAUUACAAAAAUGGGUGAACUGUAUGUUUAGUGUCUUUGAUAACAUUGUCAAUGUAGAUUUUUUCUGAUCUAAAUUUAUAUGUGAUUAAAUAAAUACGUAUAGUAUAGUAAGUAAUUGGUAGUCAAUAAAAUAAAAUUUAAUAGACAAAUAUAUAAAUUAUUAGAACUACAUAUGUUAGGGCGUGAGCCCUGAGGCAUGCCUCAUUUAAACCCAUUUUAUUAUAUUUCAUUGUUUGUGCCCUUUAAACUUCUAUUUCCAUGUUAUGAUUUCCAAUAAAUGAUAUUUGAGCUAUCAGAUUAUUUCACCGGCUCUACUUUUUAAUUUAGCUUAUUACUUUUCAUAAUUAUUUUUAUUAAAAAAAUUAUUAUUUUAUUUUAUUAUCUCUUCUCCACUCUCAAUGGCAUAACCAUCACCGGCACCCUCCAUCACCUAUCUUCAUCAAGUACAAGUUCACAAUUGCCACCAUCACCACCUAUCCUCUUCACUAUCAACCAUCACCUCGGCCAACACAUAAAUGAUGAAUUUCAAUACGGACUUGUUGUUAAAUUUUAUGAAUGAGUGGUAAGCUUUCUUAUUAUUGAUGAUAUUAGUUUUUACUUUGCGUGAUAAUCUAAGAUUCUAUUUAAUUUCAAUUUGAAAUUUGAUUAUAAAUUAAUAUUCGAUUCAAAUUAUAUAUCAAUUAAAAAAAUGAGAGAGAUGUCAUAGAUGAUCUAUGGAGAGCAUGACAGAGAAUAAAAAAAUAUUUAUUUUUUUAAUUAGUUUAAUUUAGGAAUAGAAAAAUAUUAAUUUAAAGUGGGGGUUAGUGAGAUAUAUGGGGAGCAUGACAGAGAAUAAAAAAAUAUUUAUUUUUUUAAUUAGUUUAAUUUAGGAAUAGAAAAAUAUUAAUUUAAAGUGGGGGUUAGUGAGAUAUAAUGAAAGGGUAGAUAUCACCACUCAUGAUUUCCUCAAAUCUAUGUUUCUGAUAAAUUUUAAAAGAUAGUGUGAGCAUAGUCUAAAUUGAUUUUUAGCUAUUUAUUUCUCUAAUAAUUCGAAGUUGGGUGCCUAGUUAAAUGAAUUUUGCUUGAAAGUCACUUAAUUAAACCUUUAGGACUAGAGCAUGUUGAAAUGAGUUUCGGUAGAGAGAAAUUGAAAAGAGCAUCAGACUGUCUCAGUAUAAUUACAUGAAAAUAUUAUUUUGACUAGAAAAAGAAAACUAAUUAAUGGAUUUGGUAGGUAAGUGCCCCUUCGAUUUUAAAAUUAGCAAAUCAGCCUCAUUAGAGGUUAUUUUAUUUAAAUAUACCUCAUUUGCCCCUAAAUAUCAAAUCUAUAUCCUAUUACAUAUAUAUGCCUCAUGAAGGUAGAAAAAAUAAAAAAAUAUCCUUAAAAAAAUAUUUAUCUACAUUUUCUUCCUCUCUUAGUUUUCUCCUCUCGGCUCUCACCAUUUAUUUCUCACGAUUUGCUUUUCUCACCAUUUUUUUCCUCUCUCAUUAUUUUAUCUCUUACCUCCAAUACAGAGUUUUUUUAUAAAUAUAAACUCUUCAAAAUGUGCAUUAUCAAGUGGUGGAUAAUGUAUGUUUGAAAUGUAAACAUUUUAUAUGCUCAGAGUUUGAUUUGAUUUCAUUACGAGUUUAUUCGUUGUUGAUUUAUGAGUUUAACUGUACAUUAUUUAUUGUUGUGCUUAUACAUCCACAAGAAAAUUUAUUGGGUAUUUUAGAGCAAAUGAGGUAUAUCACACGCAAUUCUCCCCCUCAUUAGUGUCUGUUUGUAGCUGUUCAAAUUAAAGUCCCAUCUCAAAAAGGCUCUCUUUAGUACUUUGCAAAUGGAUAGUGAUACUGAUGGGCCAAUUAACGGUUACGCUGAACUUGUCUCUCCGAAUCAAAGCAUUAGAGAUUUGACGAAGCACUAGCACUUGUGGCUCGCCCAUCAUGGCCCAACAGCGGCAGAGUUCAAUUUUUCAACUUUAUCCGCUGAUUUAUUUAUCAGAGCCAGCUGGUUGUGGUUGAAACCUUUAAAGACAUUUCGAGUUGUACGAAAAAGGAAAAACUUGUUUUCAAAAACAUGACGGAAAUUUCUACUUUUUGGUUAAUUCAUAGAAAAGCACUUUAUUUUCAAGGCCAAGUUUUGUACUUUGCAGAAUAUGUUGCAAUCCAACAUUUUUCUUUUCGGAUGCUUCAAAAUUUUGAAGUUAUUUCUUUAAACAAAAAAAAAAUUUCUAAGGAGUUCUUUCUUUAAAAAAAAAAGGAGUUAUUAUUUCUCAGUCAUAUAUCUUAUAAAAUGAAAAUUUAAAGCACUUAUACUUGACUUGAGAUUAUGCUAGCCUCUAAACGUUUAAGUGACUUGGCACAUAAAGAAUAAUUAUUAAGAAUCUCGAUAUUUAGGUUCUAAUUGAUGUGAUGUUUAUCUAUUAAAUGAUAAUAAUAAUUAACUAAUUUUAAAAUUUAUUAGAUAAUAAUUCUAAUAGAUGAAUGGCAUGUGUAGUUAAAGAUAAACGUUGAGAUCUCUAAUAUUACUAUUAUUUUUAUGUAAAUACACAAUGAAUUAGUUUAUAUAUAUAUCAAAACAAGUUUGAUGCCAAUUAAGAACUUAUUCACUUGUUAAAUUAAAAAAAUUACUCAAUACGCUUUUUAAAAUUCCAAAACAGUCCUUAAUUAUUUGCUUACUUCAACUCAGAAAAUUAAAUAUAUUUCAUGCCAAUUAAGAACUUAUUCUCUCUCUCUCUAUAUAUAUAUAUAUUAGUCACAAAAUUAUUAGUAUGAUUUCUUAAAGGUUCGAUUGUUUCAAGAAGUAUUGGAAUUGGAAGCCCAAGUAUCAAAAUUGCUAAUAUGGAUGAAUCGAAACCAAACUGCUCAUUCUGUUUUCUUUUUAAAAAAAAACUGGUACUGUUUUGAAAUUGAUAUAAUGUCACCGUCAAGAAGCAGAACAAUGAAAUUAGAAAGAUAAAAAUUAUGGUUUAAGUUAAUAUAAUUUAUACCGAAUGGGUGUAGUAAAAGGGUGUCAAGAGCAAUAUAUUUUAUUGACUCACACAAGAUUGUCCCAAAUAGUAAAUUAAAUUUUGGGCAUUUUUGUGGUAUAAAAUUUAUAAAAGGGUGGGACUAUUGAAGCCACCAAAUUACUUUCUACAUCUAUUUUAAAAAAUAAAUUUAUUAAUUAUAUGUCUAAUAAUAUUAAAAAUCUCAAUAUUUAAGCCGUAUCUAAUCACAUGUGUCACUCAUCUAUUGGAUGAUAAAUAAAUAAAUAUUUUUUAACUUAAUUUUAAUGGAUUAAGAGCAUUAACUGCUACUUAAUACAAUAUUAUGUUCCCAUUCUUUUCUCCCUCUCCUCUCAUGUGCCUUUCUCUAAUUCUUUAUGUUUUUAACGGAAAAUACUACUAUAAUAAAAAUUUAGAUCACAAAAUUUUGACAAAAUGUAUAAAAAGAAAUAAAAUAUCUUGAUAAAAUGUAAGUUGACUGCAUCUAGCCUUAUAUUUUAAUAUGUUUAUACCUUAAUGAAAAUUUUGUAAGCCAUUUUUUGUACAAGGAGCAUUAAUGGGUUUUCCCACUCUAUUGCUUUGUAUGAUUAUGAUCUUCUGGAGGAGCCAUAUUCUUUUUGCUUCAAUUGGAAAAAGUCAUGCGAUGUGCUAUGUGGAUAAAUCAAAACGGUUCACAACCUCAAACAGAUGAGGAUUUUUUGUUUUUUAAUACAUUAGAGCCUAGUAUAAAUUAGAACAUAACAUAAUGAAAAAUAAAGGUCCUAUACAUAUCAUUGCAUAACUAAUAACCAAUCCCUUCAAGAGGGGUUUCAAAAACAUGAAGAUGAAGAGGAGGGGUUUCAAAUAGGGAUUGAGAUCCUCUUCUGAUUUGAACACUCUUGAUUUUUUACAGAUCUUGUGCCACGUGUGUUUUAAUAUUAGUGAAUGAUUAAAAUUUAACUAUUUUUUUUCUUUUUCAUUUAUUAAUCAUCAAUUAUAUUAAUAACACUUGUUCAGAUAAAUAUCAUAUUAGGAGAUUAUCUUGAUCCUUCAAAUUGAGGGGAUUAUAUAUCGCAUUAGGAAAAGUCCAAACCUCUUGUGGAGACCCAAAAGGCUUGUAAAUAGUGCCCAAUAAGCAUCUAUUAUUCAUAGGCUCUUUAGUAGGGGUGAGCAAAUCGGGUUUCGGUUUGGGUUUCAACCCGUUCGGGUUGGAGAAUUGAACCCAAUCGGGUUGAAAACGCCAACCCGAACCAAACCGAACCGAAUUUAAUUCGGUUCGGUUCGGUUCGGUUUGGGUUGGCAAUUCGGAUCGGAUUAGGUUGAUAAUUCGGGUUAAAAUUUCGGUUCGGGUUAAUUCGGGUUAGUUCGGGUUAGAAUAAUUCGGGUUAGAAUGGGUUGAAAUAAUUUAAUCUAAAAAUUCUAACAACUACCACUUAAAAUCUAAAAAUUUCAAUUCCAAACAUCUUUAACAACAAAUAUCAACUACAAAUCAUCCUUAAUAACAUUUCAACAAUUUAAAAAUCUCAAUUCCAAACAUUCCAAACAUCCUUAAGGAACAAUUUAAUUCAAAAAUUAUAACAAUCACUUAAAAUCCAAAAAUCUCAAUUCCAAACAUCCUUAAUAACAAAUAUCAACUACAAAUUAUCUUUAAUAACAUUUCAAUAAUUUAAAACUCUCAAUUCCAAAUAUCACAAUUUAAUUAAUAAUAACUACAAUAACAGCAACAACAUUUGGAAAUAUAUAUAACUUUGUCGAACAACAGUUAAGUUAAACACAAACAAUAAUAAUAACACUAAUAAUAACUACGAAUCAACAAUUCAACAUAUUGCCAUUUUCUAAAUUAAAAAAAAGCAAAGAUUAAUCAAUUAAUUAACAAUCUCCAAUUUAAUUAAUAAUAAGAGCAACAAACCCACUCCAAUUUAAUUAAUAAUAGUCUCCACUCUCCAAUUGUUCAAUUAUCAGUAAACCCACUCCAAUUUAACUAAUAACAAUCUCCAUUUGUUCAAUUAUAAAUCAACAACAACAAACCCACUCCAAAUAAUUGAAUAAUUACCAAUCAAUUAAUUAAAAAUAUACAAUUUAAUUAAUAGCAACAGGCUGUUAAAAACUUAAAAUUCGAUUCGGGUUGUUGCCAUCAGCUGCGAGCAAGUCAGCAAGUUACAGCAUCGGCAAAGCGAGACAAACCUUGAUCUCGGAGCAACUACAGCAUCGGCAGAUCGAGACUGUGCUGGGCUGAGUGGGAUGCAAGGUGAACGCAUAGCGCAGUUGCGGGCGAGCGUGCUGGCUGACGGCGAGUGGGCUGUGGUGAACGGCUGGUGUCUGUUGGAGCUGGACGGGGCUGCCGGCUGCUGCUGUCGUCGUGGGCCACGAAACUCAGAAAGUGAGAAGAGGGAGCAAGGAGGGGGAGGGAGUGAGAUGGUGAGACUGAGAGUUUCUGUUGGAGCUGAAUGGGGUUGCCGACUGCUGCUGUCGUCGUCGGCCAUGAAACUCAGAAAGUGGGAACUGAGAAGAGGGAGCAAGGAAGGGGAGGGAGUGAGACGGUGAGAUUUUUGUUUAGGGAUUUUUUGGUUUAAUGUAUAUAUAUUUUUUAAUUCAAAAGCUGAAUCUUAAAAAAAAAAAAAAGCUUCAACCCGAACCGAAAUUUAACCCGAACAGGUUGAAGCUUUGAAUCCGUUCGGGUUUCACCGGUUAACCCAAAUCGAACCGAACGCCCACCCCUACUUUUUAGUAAGUAGUCUUUCGCUAACUUAUCACUCAUUCAAAGAUUCUCCCUAGAUUUUCCCUUGCUUUCUCCGGAUCCAAACUGACUUAAGCCUCAAAAUGUGGCUGUUCCACCGUCAGCUCUUCUCAAAUGUCAAUCUCAACUCUCAAGGCAACUAUCUCAAUCCAAGGGCAAGUCCGUAAUUCUCUAGCAUUUGACGGUAAGAAUAUACACUCAAAUCUUAGAAAUGAAUAAUUCAUAUUAAAUUAAGAGUAGUUAUACAAGUAUUAAAUAUUUUUGUACAAAUUGAUGUAGUGAAUUGAAAACAUCUCACGUCAUUGCUUUUUAUUAUUUAUAUUUUCAAGUAGCAAAUCAUGCUAUGCCAUAUCAAUUUAUAUAAAAUUGAACAAAAUUAAAAUUUACAUCAAUUUAUGUAUAUGUGUUUAUGGGCCUAGAAUUAUUCUUAAAUUGAAUAAAAUUAUAUUUGUUGGGAGAAUUUUUCUGUUUUAAUGAUUUUACCCGACUCGAAUAUGGAUUAAUCGGGGGUCCAAUGUGAUUUUUGGAUAUCAAAUAAUUCAAUACACUGAAAAAAAAAUUAAAAGAUUUUUUUUUUUUUUUGGUUAUAAUUCAAUCUUCAUUGGAAAAAAAAACCAUUGUAAGCACAGCAGCCAUCAGUUGCAGUGCUAAUAUAGUAAUCAAAAGAUGGGAUUACAGGUUAAUGAGAAUUAAUAUUCUAAUAACUCUAUUUGGGAUCUGACAAAUUAAAACCUCCUCGUGCUUAUCUCUCUUUGCGCGCAUGCAUACAAACAUUCACAAAUUUUUUCCACCAAGUAUUUUUUCCACAUUGUCGUGGAGUCUUGGGUAGCCACAUACUCCACACAAGCUCACAGUACUACGCCAUCAUCUCAUCUAAAUAAUUAAAAGCCUAAAUCAAAUAGACUUCCCAGCAAAAAUAUGUGAGCGCCGUUUUGAAUAUACAAUAUAUAGAUCCAGUUUUUAGAAACCAUUAACAUUCCAUCACAAGAACAUCAACACCAAUUAACCCAGCUGACAGAAGAGAGGAGAAAUAAAUAAUAAUAUAAAUUACACUUAACGACCCUUAAGGUCAACUGAGAAGAAACAUGAUUCAUAAUAGUUAAUAUAUAUGCCACUGCUAGCUAGCUAGCAGCUACAAUUCAAUAAUGCGAAUUAUAUUAUGCCCACAGCCACUGCAACUCCUCCGGCGGAGGGAACUCCAAGUCGAAGAUCAGCCUAUUAACCUCCAAGUCCUUAAACGACACGCCUUUUGAUAACAUGGAAACCGGUGACACAUUAUAAUUAUUAUUAUCAUCGUUGACGACUUCGCCUUCAAGCUUAUUAACCUCAACUGAUAUAACUUCUCUCCUUGAAUCUGCUGCUGAUGAUGAGUUGCUUUCUUUAAUCCAUGCAACGCUAGAAUCCUUGCCCGUAAGCUUCUGAACGACGGAUUUGAAGCUGACGGGGUCAGUCUCUACGUACUGAGUAUCCAUUAGUACUACCUUAACGGCUUCUUGCUUUUUGCUUGACAUCGUUGUAACUAGUAUAAAUUAAAGAAGGAGAGGAAAAGGAAAAAAAAGCGCUUUUUGGAGAAUCUUUUCCUGCGUUAAAUUGUAUGAUUAUUUUAUUAGAAUUGUGAGUUUUACUUAUAUACAGGAAGCUAAGAGGGAGAGUCGCAAGAAAUGGGGACACAAGGUGAAGGUGGGGUAUUGAUGAGGCGUUUUGGCAGUCAAUAAUGACUCACACUGGAUCGAGUCAAGGGCACGCAACUUGGAAUCUUCAUGGUCAAUCUUAUUGUUCCAAUUUCCAUCGCCACAUAUGACAGCUUUUUUUUUUUUUUUUUUUUUUUUUUUUGAUUAUACGAGACUAUUGCUCAAAUUACAACUCAUAUUACAUGAGAAUAUAACUGAUAUGUACAAAUCAGAUUAUAACUGGGACCAACAUACAUCAAAUCUAAUAGAGCGCUGCCCAGAUUUUAACCUUCUCAAAUAUUCGAGGGAUGUCUACUCCUCGUACUGGGGCAAGGAAGCAGACUGCCUUCACUCAAUUUUAACCCACAUAUGACAGCUUUAUUAGCUUACCUUACCUAAGUUUUACAGUUGAUCUUCGAGCUAUCUAGCUAACGGGAAUUAAACUUAUAAAUAAGUUUUAACACAUCUUGUCCUGUUAAUUCAGUUUUAUUCAUGCUAUCACUUUUAGCUUUCAUUUGUUUACAUUGGAUGGUUGUAACGAUCGAGAACAAACUUGACGAUUAUGUGAAGUAAAUUUGAAGAGAGGUUUGUAGAAUCUCGUCACUAGGAAUUCGGUGUUCUUCGAUUUAUUAUUAUUAUCAUUAUUAUUUUCUUAUUUUUAACUCUUCUCAGUCACUUUGAUUCUUAUCAUACGUUAUAACGUCUAAUCAAUUCCUAAUUAAUUAAUCACAUUCUCAUUAUUUAUAUAGUAUUUAAAAGAAUUAAAAAAAAAAACUGUGACGAGAUUUACUUUUUUUAUAUAAUUUAUAUCACCACUUUGAUUUUUAUUCUCUCUCUUUAUAUAUAUAAAAUACCCAUUAGAGUCUUCAAAAUUUACAUAAACAGUAAAAUCAGUUUUUGGUAUGACUCAAUAUUAUAGUUUGUUAAAUAAUUAGGCAGUCAUGAGAAAUUACGUUUAAGUCAACUAUAAAUAAUGAAACUUAGUAGGUGCCAAAUAAUAAAUAAUUAAAAUAUGACUAAGAAAGUCCGUAAGGAUGGAUCUGAAAUUGACGAAGACCGAAGAUACAUUAGAUGGAAAAGUUUAGAAGCAGUGGCGAGAUUUUCAUGGCCCCUCUCUUGUCAUAUUUUUGGACGAGAAUACCGCCACUUGUCCUAAACUUUUCCUUCAAAAUUAUCUUCCAUCCUCGUCAGUGUCAAAUCAAAUCCAUCCUUAUAUUAUCGCCAAGUAAAGGAAAGGGACCUGCUGAUGGCUGAUGCUAUGCCCUACGAGUGUGCAAUGACUGUGGAAGAGCAAAAGGAUCUCCGUUGGGCUUCGGGUGGAGUGUCAGUUGCUAUCCGGAUAACAAGUAUUGGGCUUCCUCGGCCCAAACUUUUAACUUCACGGGCAUCUCUGCUUAAUGUUGCUCGCCGCUCCACUUGCACUGGGUCUCAACCAAACAGAAGCCCAAGCCUGAUGCAUUUUUUCCCUUAUUAUUUUAUUAUUUUUUUCCCUUGAGUUGAUUUGAGCUUCUUCUAAUUCUCAGUUUUUAAUGCUACCAAUUAAAAUCUUUUUGUUUAAAUUAUUUUUUUAAAGGGUAGAAGUGUAGGUAAAUUUUUGUAUUCAAAUUUAAUACUAUUUUUUAGGAAUUUGUAUUCGAGAGGUCAAUUAGAUUUAUUCUAUAUUGAAGUAUCGUAUUAUCGUAGAAAAAGAUGCUGCAAUUAUAAAACAAAGGUUAACAAUGCAAGGUAAUUUUUUUAACAAAAAAAUUGAUAAAAAUAAUUAAGAUGUUAUAAUUUUUUUAUUAUUAAAAAAAUAAAAAAAUUAACUUAACCAAAUUGGGUGUGGCUAAAUAAUCGUCUUAAUUGAAAUUGAGGUUGGACAUGUAUAACUUAAAAGAUAUGUAACUUGGAAGUUAAGUUAAUUUGAAUUUAUACUUUUAUGAUAAAAAGUCUAUUAUAUUUUUAUUAAUUUUGUCAAAUUACUAUUUAAAAUUGUAUUUAGUAUAUAUUAUAAAUUUUUAUUUCAUAUUUAUAAUUUUUUCCAUAAUCGCUGUAACUUUAAAACUACCGUAUCUCAAUACCAAAUAGGAGUUAUAUUAUAUGUAAUUUAUAUCCAAUUUAAGAGUUGCAUCUAAUAACUCAAAACAUGCAUCUAAUCAAAUAUAAUACUUGAUUAGAUGUGUAAUUCUUGAAUCAAAUAUAAAUUAUAUAUAAUGUAAUUUAGUAUAACCUAACUUUUAAAUCAUAACUGUAAGUAUUUAUCAAAACACUUUAAAAUUAAGACUUAAAAAUUAUAUCUAUUCAAUUAACGUAUCAAAGCAACCCUAAAUAAAGUUGAUCGAAGACCGUAUUUAGGGUUGCUUUGAUAGUUUAAUUGAAUAGAUAUAAAAUCUGAAAAAUGGGCAAUUGAAUUUAUUCGUCACGAGAAAAAAGAAAAAGAAAAAAGAAAAAAAAGAAAGUUCUGUAUGCAUCUUCUUGCUACAUGGUACAUAAACAACUCUUAUUAAUUCUAGAGAGUAGGAAACGUAAAAAGAAAAUUAAAUUAAAUUAAACAAAUUUUUUUUUUUAAAAAAAGAAAACUAAAAAACAGCUUCUUUCUAUCCCUGUGUCCGUCUCGCGUACAGGAGGAGCCGGGGGAGGAGGAUAUCUAAAAAUCUAAAUAGAUAUCAAAUCUUCUUCAUUUUUUCACUUCUGCGUGCGUGUGCUUUUUUUUUCCCCCUUUUUUUUUUUUUUCAAUUUGCAGUGAGUGAAUUAAAAAUGCACUAAUAAACGACCUAUUUCAUGUCUCUCCCCAACAAACGCACAGCCAGCAACAACAACAGCAACAAUUAUUCACCUUCGGCAAUGAAGAAGGCCAAGUCCCAAGCCGUGGCCUGCUCUGUGGACACCGCCAACAAGAACGGUCUCCACCACGACAACGACGCCGUUUUCGAUCCCUCUUCUAUUUCUCUCGAUGACGAUCUUAAGCCCGACGAACCCCGACAACAAGCCGCCGCCAAUUUGUCCCGCAAAAAAGCCCAGCCCCCUCAGCCCGCCAAAAAACUUGUCAUCAAGCUCCUCAAAGGUACGCCCUUGCUUACUGCUUGUUUCUUUUAUUCGAUCAUUCGUCUUUUGUUUGUUUAGGUUUUGGUUGAGGAUAUCGAGGGUUUUGCUUCUGAGUAUUGGAGAGGCUUUAAAUUUGGAUUUUUGUUUGUUUUGAGCUGAUCUUUUCGCGUGGUUACUUGAAUUUAUUUGGUGGACCUUUGAAUUGGAUUGGUUAUGGGAUCUGAGUUCUCGUUUUUCAUUUGUUAAUUGAGGAACUUUAUCCAGUGGUUGAAAUUGAUUUGGGUAUUUCUCACUUUUGCUAUGUUUAUUUGUAACCAUUAGGAAAUUGCAAUUUCGGAUUGAUUGGCCGAGUCUGUUUGGUUUCAUUUUAUUUUAUUCCCUGAGGCACUUAUUAAACCAGGAGCUGACUAGGGUUUUAUUUUUAUCACUUGAGUAAGUAAAAAUGAGACCAAUCUAGGGUUUUCCCUGGUGAUAGUUUGAAUCAAUCUGAUCAGUUGUUAGAAGUGAUUUGGUAGCUAGGGUUUCGGUGUGCCGUUCUAAUUUAUCGUUAUUCAUUGCGAUGAUUUGGUACAAUUCAAUUUUCUAUUUAAUUUGGGUUGCAUAUGCAAAUGUUUAGUGCAACUGGAAAAACCUUGUUGAGGCAGAUGUUGCUAGUCUAGCAAUUUGAAACUUGAAGAAUUCUCAACUUAUGGUCUAAUUUUAGAAGAUAUGCUGACGUGAUAAAUAAUUCGGAAUUUUGUGUCUGUGAAGCUAAACCCACACUGCCUACAAAUUUUGAGGAGGAUACAUGGGCAAAGCUGAAGUUAGCUAUAAAAGCAAUAUUCUUGAAGCAACCAACUUCCUGUGAUUUGGAAAAGCUAUAUCAGGUAGAUAUAAAUAAUUUUUCAUUCUUUGUUUAAUAAUGUGGCUCUUAUUAAUGUGAAAUUUGUCGUGCAUGAGGGUUUCACAAAAGAAAAAUUAUGUCAUCCUUAGGCUGUCAAUGAUCUUUGCCUGCACAAGAUGGGGGGAAACCUUUAUCAGCGAAUUGAAAAGGAGUGUGAAGAACAUAUAUCUGCUGCAAUUCGAUCGUUGGUCGGUCAAAGCCCUGACUUGGUGGUUUUCUUAUCACUGGUUGAGAGAUGCUGGCAGGAUCUUUGUGAUCAGAUGUUGAUGAUUCGUGGUAUAGCUUUGUAUCUAGAUAGAACAUAUGUGAAACAAACACCAAAUGUGCGUUCAUUGUGGGACAUGGGAUUGCAGCUUUUCCGGAAAUAUCUUUCUUCAUAUUCAGAAGUUGAGCACAAAACUGUCACUGGUCUUUUAAGGAUGAUUGAGAGGGAAAGGUAAUGCUUAGAAAGUUAAAUAUAACCAAUACUGUGUAUCAUUAAAUCUUCUAGAUUAUCAAUAAUAAUGAAGUUAUUUUUCUCUUUUUAUAUCUAUGGGUUGAAUUUUUUUAUGUUCCUUUAGUUGAUCCUGGCACAAAUUUUAUGAUUGAAUUGUGGUUGUGGGUGGGGGUUAAUUUGAUAUGCUCUGGAAUUCACAGUGUUUUCUUUUUUUCCUUUGGGGUGGGGUGUGGUUGCACUGUCUUUUAGAUUAGGUGAAGCUGUUGAUAGGACACUCCUUAAUCAUCUAUUGAAGAUGUUCACCGCUCUGGGAAUUUACUCCGAAAGCUUUGAGAAACCAUUUCUUGAGUGCACGUCGGAGUUUUAUGCCGCCGAAGGCAUGAAAUACAUGCAGCAAUCAGAUGUUCCAGAUUACUUGAAGCACGUGGAGGUACUGUUUAUAUUCCUCUAUGCCCACCAUUAGCUGCCAUAUAUUUGUCUCUUUUUAUUGCAUGAUACAUAACUACAAAUUGCUUGUUUUACGUUGCUCUCUGUUACCUAAAAUGUUGAACUAGAUAGUUGGGAUUCCUGGAUUUGAAAAAUAUCUGGGAACAAAAUUUGUGUAGCCAACAAAAUUUGGGGGAAAAAAUUGGAAUCCAACUGCACUACAAUCCAGGAAUCCCAGAUCGGAUAAUUUUCCCUGGAUAGUUUUGUUUUACUUAUGAUCUCAUGAUGUAUGUUGAAAUAUUUAGGAUUUGCUGAUGGCUCCUUCUCUUUCACAGAUAAGGUUGCAUGAAGAACAUGAAAGAUGUUUACUAUACCUUGAUGUAAGCACAAGAAAGCCACUUAUAGCAACUGCCGAAAGGCAACUUCUUGAACGACAUAUAUCUGCGAUUCUCGACAAGGUGUGGAGUUAAUUCUUUUAGCUUAUUCUCUCUAUGCAUAUACUAGAAUUUGGAUUGCUUUUGUAGUUAUGGUUUCUUUCUGUUCAGGGGUUCACAAUGCUGAUGGAUGGCCAUCGUACUGAGGACCUACAGAGGAUGUACUCACUAUUUUCAAGGGUCAAUGCUCUCGAAUCAUUAAGGCAGGCCCUUGCUAUGUACAUUCGUAGAACUGGGCAUGGCAUUGUCAUGGAUGAAGAGAAAGAUAAAGAUAUGGUUUCGUCUCUUUUGGAGUUCAAGGCUUCUCUUGAUACAAUAUGGGAACAAAGCUUCUCAAAGAAUGAAGCAUUUUGCAACACAAUAAAGGACGCAUUUGAGUAUCUAAUUAAUCUUCGUCAGGUCAGCAUAUCCCACUUUCUUUUUCCUUCCACCAUUUCAACGUUACGAUUGGACAUUAAAAAAUAAACUAUUCCAUUUGUAUUUAUUUGUUAGUUAAAUGCCGGAUUUGAAUUGUAGGAUAACAAAAUUUCAUCAUGAAGAAAGUAUGAGAGUAGCAUUUAAAGAGGAUAGGUCAUAAUAGUGAUUGUUAUGGUUGCUUUUGUUAUUACAUAUAUGACUAAAUGUAACCAAAACUGGCUCCAGAUUUCAGAUCAUAUGACAAGAUGUUAAAAGCUUGCACCAGAUAUCAGUCAGGACCUUAUUUUGUAUCAGUCUGCCAUUACCACUAAUUUUUUUGAAGAUUAUAUAUAGAAAUUUGUGGCUAAUAGUUACAUGUUUCCCCUGUUUACAGAACCGACCUGCUGAGCUGAUUGCAAAGUUUCUGGAUGAGAAGCUUCGGGCUGGAAAUAAGGGUACUUCAGAAGAGGAAUUGGAGGGUACACUUGAUAAAGUUCUGGUUUUAUUCAGGUUUAUUCAGGUAACUAUACAUCCUUGACAGAAAUUUCAGUUUUUUUUUAAAUAUUUAUUCUCUAGUCUUCUAUGAUUUAUUAUUAUUAUUGUUGUUGUUGUUGUUUUGCAAAUUUAGGGUAAAGAUGUGUUUGAAGCAUUCUAUAAAAAGGAUCUUGCAAAAAGGUUACUGUUGGGGAAGAGUGCUUCCAUUGAUGCAGAGAAAUCUAUGAUUUCCAAGGUUAGUGGCAAGAAGUCUUAUUUUGACUUCACGUUGCUGCCAAAUGUUUAUGAUGUUGUCAUACUAACAAAUGUCUAGUUCUAAUGCAGCUAAAGACUGAAUGUGGCAGCCAAUUUACAAACAAACUUGAAGGGAUGUUCAAGGUGUGCAUGUUUUUCCAUAUAAAUUCUGUUUAGGGAAAUGCAUUGAUUUCUGAGGAAAUUAAAACUUUAGAACUAAAAUUGAGUGAUCACCUAGUUGAUUGCUUAUCUAUUAUCAAUAGGGAUAUUAUCAUUUUACCACCUAAUAUUUUCUGACAUAUCACUUUCCCACUAAAGUUUUUUGGCAAUUCCUUUUUCCCACUUAAUGUUUCAAUUUUUAUCAUUUUACCACCAAACCGUUAGUUAAUGUGAUUUUAAACAGAAAUUAUAGUAAAAGUCUAUUUUACUCCUAAACUGUGUAAGUGUAAUUUAACCCUUUAAAUUAAAAAAAAUAUAGAAUUAAUUAUAUACAAAGAAAUAAUACUUUUAUGUCUAAAAUAAUUAAUUGAUAAAAUUGUAAAUAUUACACCUGGUGAAAUUUAUAAAAUACUAAAUAUACAGAAAUUCCUGAAAUACCCUUGCGACAUCAGCAAUUUAUUUAUUAAUGGAGUUAAACUGUUUGAUGAUAAAUUGAAAAAAAACUGAAACAUAAAGUGGGAAAAAGCAAUUGUCAGAAAACUUUUGUGGUAAAGUAAUACGUCAGAAAACAUUAGGUGGUAAAAUGAUAAUAUUCCUUAUCAAUAAAAAAAAAACUGUAAUGAAAUGAGUAAAACAUUAGCUUUUCCUGGCAAAUUAUGAUGCAAAUUUGAUAUGCCCCUCGAACUUCUUUAACCAGUUUUUAUUUUGAAGCGUCUUUCAGUUUCUGCAUGUCUGGUUUUCUUGGAAGUGCUAGAUAUGCUUAUAUUCAUGUGAAGGUCAAAUUUUAGUAGCAUUGCUGUGCACUUGGAGUAGUGGCCUCAAUUUGCUGAGGGAAGCUUUAUUAAAAUAAAUUUUAAAAAAAUCCACGAGAAGGGGAGACAAAACAGCUGAACGCAUCAAAAUAAAAAUCGGAAAACAAAAAAAUAAGCAUAUAAUGUGAUACAAGAAGGUAAUGAAGACCAAUGUCUAAAAAAAUUUGUUAAUUAGACACACACACAUACUACAUGAACUUGAAUCCAAGACCUAGGUCUUGGUAAGGCCAUUCUUACCUCAUAAUUGUUGUCACGUGAAGUGUUAAUUAUCAAACCUUGUGGUCUCCAAUCUAUGAAUUUUAAAAAUUACACGAUCAAGUGUUUACUUGAUUUUCUUAGACAGGCUGUUGAAAUAUAGCUCAAUAGUUGGAGAGCAUCAUUAGAAACCAAUAAUAACCUCUUUAUUCUUGCCAGUUUAACACUUGAUCUGUUGAUGUAGCAUUUGUUUUGUGAAUUCAGUUAACCUUUUCUGUUGACUUUUUCAUUCAUCUCAGCAGCAGUUUCUACUUUUUUUUUUUUUUUUUAACCCCCCACACAUUCUCAGGAUAUUGAAUUAUCAAAGGAGAUAAAUGAGUCCUUCAAACAGUCAUCCCAGGCCAGGACAAAACUCCCAUCAGGGAUUGAGAUGAGUGUCCAUGUCUUGACAACAGGGUAGGUUGAGAUCCUAAAUUACCAUAUAUUUCAGAAUUUUGUUAUAAUAUUCCAAUCAAUAUUACUGAGGAUUUAAAAUGUUUUUUCCAUUUGGUGGCUGGCAUAUAGGUACUGGCCCACAUAUCCCCCCAUGGAUGUUAGGCUUCCUCAUGAACUGAAUGUCUAUCAGGUUUGGCAUAAGCUGAAGAUGGCUGUUUUCUAUUACGGGUUCUGAGAGUAUAGUGUAUAUGUUUGUGUGACCCUUCUCUUUACUUUUGCUGCAGGACAUUUUUAAGGAGUUCUAUUUAAGCAAGUACAGUGGAAGGCGCUUAAUGUGGCAAAAUUCAUUAGGUCACUGUGUGUUGAAAGCUGAGUUUCCUAAAGGUAAAAAGGAGCUGGCAGUUUCCCUAUUUCAGGUUGGUAUCUUAUAUUGUGCAUUACCUUCAUUGUUGUGCUGUCUGUUCCUUUUUUUUUAAUAGAUGUUACCUUAAAGUUCUAAUAAUACUGUGCUCACAUUUUUAUCGGCCCUCCAGACAGUUGUUUUGAUGUUAUUUAACGAUGCUCAAAAGCUUAGUUUUCAAGAUAUUAAGGAUGCCACUGGCAUAGAAGAUAAGGAACUGAGGAGGACUCUACAGUCUCUUGCUUGCGGUAAAGUACGCGUCCUGCAAAAGGUAGGUGCUUAUUGCUGGAGUGGCAGCUUGGUUUCUUGGUUUGAUAAAGUUUUGUAUACUUUUGGGUCUUCAUUUUUUUCCCUUUGUGAUAACUUUUUUUUUUUAAAAAAAAAAAAUUCUACAGUUGCCAAAGGGAAGGGAUGUGGAGGAUGAUGAUUCAUUUGUGUUCAAUGAAGGAUUUACUGCUCCCCUUUAUCGUAUUAAGGUAUGGGCUUCUGUUAUGCAGCAAUAUUGUGACACACUUUCUACACUAGACUGUUUGAUUUGCCACCUAGAUGUAACUUAACCGUUGUGUUUCUUUGGUAUGCAGGUAAAUGCUAUACAGAUGAAGGAAACAGUGGAAGAAAACACUAGCACCACUGAAAGAGUAUUUCAGGACCGUCAAUAUCAGGUUUGCCUCCGCAGAUUAUGUUAUUCAUUUUGACAAAACAUAAGUAUCCCAUAUGGUUAAUGUGGCUGUGAGUUCCAAGCAGACAUGAAUUAUUUCUUUGUUGUUGAAUGUGUUUCAGGUGGAUGCUGCCAUUGUUCGGAUAAUGAAGACUAGAAAAGUGUUGAGUCACACACUUCUAAUAACCGAACUCUUCCAACAGGUACUACCACCCGUGCUCCAAUUUGAGCUUUUUAUUUACCUUAAGCAUAAUAAGAUCUCUCAUAUCCAGUCACAGUCAUAUUGGACCAUGCCACAAAUAACAAAUAUAACGUGGUAAUUGUUUCAUUGGAUAGCUGAAAUUUCCUAUAAAGCCGGCCGAUCUGAAGAAAAGGAUUGAGAGCCUUAUCGAUAGGGAGUACCUGGAGCGUGACAAGAACAAUCCGCAGAUAUAUAAUUACCUGGCCUAGUCCCCCAUUUUGUCACACACACAAAUGUGAUGUUUUUCUUUGCAUGGCGGCGUAAUCAAAUGUUAUCUCUCCCCUGUACAGAAAGUUGUAGUUCCUUUUUUUUUUCUUCUUCUUUGUUUUUUCGUUUUUUAACCCAACAUUUGUAAUUGUAAAGUAUAAUCGGCCUUUCUUUUGAGACCUUUCAUCUCAUUCUGGACUUGUGAGCUUCUUGAAAUAAAUUACUUAUUUUUUUCUUUCUUUUAAUCAUAUGAGAAGCUGCACCUUGCUGGUUGCUGCAGUUUACAUGAGGUUUAUUUAUUAAUUAUUAUUAUUUUUUUUUAAGGUAGUAAUGUUGGUAUGUAAAGUAUGCUAGUAUUAGUAAUAUAUUUGAUAAUAUGGUAAAAUAUAGCAACAGCAGAAAAUAUAUGAUUCUCCACGAAAUUCCAUGUCAUUCGAUGAUGAUAAAUUCUUAUUUCCCUCCAUACGAAAUCCGAUGGUAUAUAAAUAAUACAACUCAAUUACAUAGCACAGCAAACUGAGAAGCCAUCAUCACAGGCAGAUACAAAAUAUAAAAGUUCCCAAAGAAAGCAGGAAAAAAAAUAAAAAUAAAAAUAAAAAAUAAAGUGAAAUGGGCAAAUUUGGCAGUUGAAGUGAAAUCAAAGGGGAUGAUUGAUAAUCAGACGGCGGGAUCAGAGGGAGAUGGAGAUGGAGCAGCAGCGGGAUGAUGAGGGUAAAGAGGAGCGCGAAUAUUGGUAUCGGCAUCGGCAUCGGGAUCGUAAUCGGGAUUGAGGGAUCGGUCAAUAGCUUCACGGCCUUUUUCGAGACAAGGCUUGCACGCCAUCUCAAUUGCAAUCCAACCCAGCACCACUCCCGCUAUCGCUAUUAUCGCUACUGUUAUUGCAGCCAUCUCUCCUCUUCUCCUCGCUGCCGGUGAUUCUAUUAUUUUAUUUAUUUAUAAAUAUUUCUGUUACUGACUACCGACGAGGAGAAGCUGGAGAGGAGAGAGGAUGUGGAUAUGUUCUGUCCUCAUCACAAACUCACUCACCAGGUUUUAUUUUGAACUUGGGCCUCGCCUUUUUGGCACUAGCGAGCUAAAUUGAAUCCUGAGAGUAGUGUGCUAUUGGCACCCGUCCAUUAUCUCACAACACCCCCCCACCCUUUUUUUUGUAUUUUUUUUUCACUCAUUCAAGCAUUUAUGGGUUAAAAUUUAAACAUAAAAACUUAGAAGCAAGUAAUCCAACACUAAAAAGAUAGAUGCCAUUGCUUUACUUAUAAGCUCCUUCGCCGAAUUGCAAUUUUGCCUUAAAAAAAGAAAAUCAGUGAUGAACAGACCGACGGCGAGCAUGAAGGUGGAUAGGAUCGGGUACGACACAUCCGGCACUAGACUUGUAAUUGCCAUCUCAGAUGUUGGUUAGCGAAAUAAGUCCCCAAUUUCGACUUUCUCUACUUUGCUUCUGACUUGAAUUUUUGUUCAGUUAAUACUUUUAAACUAAAAUAUAAGUAUGUGAACUUAAAUCGACGAUUCGUUUUAUAAAGUUUCAUGACAUUUUCGAGAAAGCAUUUUCAGAAUUCUUUAAAAAAAAAUAUUUUCAGAUUCAUUUCAAAAAACAUUUCUCAAGACAAUGUUCAAACACAUUCCCAUAUUUAUUUAAAAAAUAUUUUAUUUUGUCACAUUUUUCUUAAUUCCACUUUCUAAAGCUAUAAAAUCCUAGAACAUUAAAUAUUAAAUUACUAGUUCUUCAUUAUUCACUAGUGUACGAUGCUCUCACAUCAACUAUUCACAACUGGUGUCAUUAUUGUUUAAACUCAAAUCUACUACUCAACGAAACAACAAUCAUAGUCAAAGUGCAAUCGAAGCUUUUUUAGACCAUACUGACGCCUGCAUACGCUUUUGGACCUUACCCUUCAAACCAAACAACGAAAUCAAUUAAACUCAUACCACUAAGUCCGAAUUUCUAAUCAAUUAAAUUCAUACCAACACUCCAACCUCACUUUAAUCGAGAAAGAACCUAUCCUUGUGACACAUGGCCUAGUGAAAUUCCUACCCCAAACACUCUUAUUAUUCAACGGUUAAAUUGAAAUGUUUAUGCCUAAAAGCAAGCUGCUUGUAAAAAGAAUCACUUGCAUGUUGAAGGAGAUCAUACCAUAGAUCAAUUGUACUGUGUAUUUGAUAACGAGUAAUGACAAUCAAAUCUUUUAAGCAUGUCAUGAUUAGAUUAGAACCUAACAUAAAAUAGAUUCCAUCUCAACAAGCACACCAACCAACCCCGCCCACCCACUGCAAACAACAGCUACUAAGUCUUGUCCCCUAAAGGCUAAAACAAUUUGCUUAACUAUACCAACUGAUCUAACUUUCACCGAUCAGUCUCUUUCUAAUUCUGCAGCUGCAACUAGUUUUGUUGUUAUCCCAGCAAUUUCUGUAACUUCAAAUUCAAUGCAUGCAUGCGUUUCCUCUAUCUCUGUCAAUGAAUGUUUAUCAAAAACACUCAACAGAGACCAACAAAUUUUUUUUUUUUCUUUUAAACUCCAUCAUUCCCAGCAGAUACAACUCCUAAAAACAUUUCCAACUACUUCACAGGAUUAGCAAAAUAUUAUCAUCAGUGUUGUGUAGUGCUUGCUUGCCAUUGACGACCGUAAUACACUAAAAAUUCUAAGAUAUUAGACUAUUUAAAUAAGAGAUAUGAUUGUUAAAACACUUCCAUUGCCAAUUCCUAUAAGGAGGGAAAAUGAAAAAAAAAGGGGAAAAGAAGAAAAGCUGAGCAGCUGUGUAGACAAUACAUUCAUUCUAAUAACACAGAGCUAAUAAAUUUAUUUGAUUACAACUUAUUCAACAACACAGAAAACAUGAGAUCAGAUUAUUUGGAGAACUAAGCAAACAGAACCUGAGAGCUUGAGGGUGUCAAGUCAGAAAAAUUAUCUGGAGCAUCAACAACUUGCCAUUGUACACUGAAGCUCCACUUUUUCUCAGAGGUGCUCAGCCUUGUGAUAUGACCCACAGCAACAUGCAGAUUCCGACCCACAACAUAGACUCUGCAAUCACAUGCAUUUACGGCAAAGGGUUUGCAUAUCUGCUCUGGUAGCGGAGGCCCCUCUAUUGUCUCCCACGAAUCAGUGCUUGGGUCAUAAACUUUGAGCUUCAUUCUUUCAAGCUCUGAAACCACAAACAAAUGCUCAUAAACCACAACACUUGAACCAGUCCACCCUUCUCUCAGUCCAACAGCCAUGCUUUCCCAAUUAUCAGUACUCGGAUCAUAGACCUGACCUCUCGGAGAGACAAAAAAUGGCCACAACCAGCCUUCCGUCACAAGAAGUUUGCCAUCUAGAACUGCAGCAUCAUAAGAUGCCAUGUUUGUUCCCAUGCUUGCAAUGGUGCGCCAAUUUCCCUUUACAGGAUCCAAAACCUCAGCUGAGUCAAGCUCGAAAAGGUCUGCACUGCUUCCUCCGGCCACAUAUAUCAUCCCCCCAAUCACCCCACUAGCAAAAAAUGAUCUGGCUGUAAUCAUCUUGUUCAUGACUGUCCAACGGUUUUUUUGCAUUUCAUACUUCAAGACCAAGUCAAGAGGACAAUCAACAUCAGAGACCAUACCUCCACACACAAACAAAGUACCCUCACGAGGGAUUGAAACACACCUAAAUCCAUGUGGACAAACCUUAUCCUUGCACGGCAUUGCCGGGAUAGUGUGCCAACAAUAGUGGGUAAGGUCUAGAACCUGCCACUGAAUUUUUCCAGUACACUUGUGAAAGGCAAAAACAAAGAGCCAAGGGUCCUUGAAACCCAGUUCCUUUCUUCGGGUAAAAAAACGCUCUUUAUUACCAAGAAGCAGGUGCCAUCUCUUGCAAACAGCUCUGCAGGCUGCAUGGCUCUCAACUGGAAGCCGGAGGAGACAAUUGAGUGCAACAUCAUCAGGAAGGCCCGGAAUGAAUGGUUCUGCUCUGAGAGAUGCUUCUAAUUCAGGUGAAGGAUUUAACAAGGAAGAUUGUAUCACAGCUAACCUAAACUUUGGGGAUAACGUCAUCUGGGAAUCCCCUAGCUUAUGUACAGGCGCUUGUUGUGAUGAUAAUCGAACCCUUUGCAUUUUAAUUGUCUUAAGACUCAAUAUUUUAAGAACCUAUAAUAUCACGAAGGACUUGUUCCACACUCAGAUUUCCUAUUUAUAUUAUGCCUCCAAAUGCAAAUAUUCAAUGAAAAAAAACAACAAUAAAUAUGCUCUAAUUCCAAACGGCAACAGAAAGAGCUAAUCCAGAAUCUCAAUUACCUACGUUUUUUUUUUCCUCCACUCUUACUGCAAAAACAACAAUUCCCUUUCCACCAAUCCUCAUAUGAGAUGAACAUGAAACAAAAAGUACAAACUUACCAAUACUAAAAUAUCCAAAUUCGAAUUCGUAUGUACCAAAAACAAUCAAAAUAUCAACUUGCAAGAAGAACCCAGAUUAUAACUUUUCACACACAAAAGAAAAUAAAAAGAAGAAGAUAUCUAAGCUAUUACGAGGUAAAAGAAAGAAACCCACAAGAACGCAGCUCAUUAAAUUUAAAAAAAAUUGAUUAAACUAUUGCCUAAAAGAAUGGGAAUUCGAAACCCAGUAAAGUUCUCGAAUAACACAACUUGGAAACUAAACAAAAAACAGCAAAAAUUAAUGACAAAAAUUGAAAUAAAAGAAACUUACAGGCAGGUAACUGUGAAAUAAAAUUGGUGAUAUUCGGUUUUGAUUUGUUGCUAAUAGAGGUGACCCAAAGACUCUUUCUUCUUGUUUAAGGAUGUUCAUUCAUUUAAUGAAUUCAGUGGCAAUGGUUUCUUGAUUCUGUAGACAAUAACUCACACGUCGCACGCGUCCACAGACCUUAUAGGUGACGUGGCAAGUGGAAAAGGCUUGUUUCAGUUGUCGUUUUAUGGAGAGUGAAGUACAAUCGCUGUUAGUGAAUGUGUGGAUGAUCCUGUGUAUCUUUUUUGCCACGUGUACGAUUGUGAAGGCUCAAACCAAAAGUGCCAAACGGCGUUGCGUAAGCUGAUUUUGCAUAAUUAAGAUUAAGUGGAUAAUUAGGGAAAAAGAUAAAAUUAUUGAGAAUAAAUUAGAGAUGGCAAUCAAUUUAUGACUCGUGAGUCAUGACAGAGUAUCCAUGAAAGCAGCCAUCCCAAGCCAGACCAGCUGUUUAUUUACACGGAAAAUUAAAAAUUCUUCCCUGAACUAUAGAUUAGAAAUACUUACAGCCAACCUCAAAUAUAUUAUGACAUUUGCACCCUUAAAUUCCAAAAUAUCGCACUUAACCCCCUUAUACUAAUAAAAAUUAAUAUAUUUUAUUAAGUUAUAAUAAAAUGUUCAUAUUACCUCUUUACGAAACGUAAACAUUUAUGAACAUGAAAUAUUAUGUAUAUAUUAUGUCAAUAUUAUUCUUAAUGAGUUGAGUUACUUAUCUAAUUUAUGUUUUUUUUUUCAUAUUUUCUUGGUAUAAAAACUGAAAAAUGUAAACAUAUGGGCAAUAAGGUAUAUGAAGAUUUGUCAAAAUUGAUUUUAUGUGUUAUCAAUAAGAGAAUACAAUGCCUUACGUAAGAAAUAAAAUUAAGAUAUAUAAUCCAUGAUAUGGUGAAAAUGAAAUAAAAUGAUGGUUAUCUUGUUAUGAAAUAAAACUUAAUAAGAAAAUUCAAUAUACAAAUAGCUUAUGUUUAUGCCAAAUUUCUAAAUAAAAAAUAUAAAUCAAUUAAAUAACUAAACUAUCAAUGACAAUAUUGUUAUAUCACACACAAAGAAUAUUUUAUUUUUAUGGAUGUUUGUGGUUUGUAAAAUGACUUAAAUUGUUUAGGGGCAAUACGGACUUUCAAUUAUAAUUUAACAAGAUAUAUCAAUUGUUGUUAGUAUAAGGGGUUAAGAAUAACAUCUCCAAAUUUGAAGGGACAGUGUCAUAGUCCAUUUGAGUUUGAGUGUAAGUGUUUCGCACAUAUAUUUGAGAGAGAAUCUGUAAUUUUUCCUUUAUAAAAAUGAAACUUCUCAGGCGUGAGGAUAUUUGAAUUCAUUAAUUUUCUUUCUACACUUCUUUUUAAUUCAGAAUAAUUUUAUUAUCAAAAUAUUUUUUAGUAACACGUCUAGAGCCUUAUAAUUCUUCAUCUCAAGUUUUCAACACAUUAUCCUCUCACCUCGCAUGCCAUGAUGAUACUACUGGUUACUUGUUCUUUUAAGAGAAAUAGAGAGCAUUCACUUAUAUACCACUAAUUAUAUUGUCAAUUUAUUUGCAAAAAAAUGGUACAAAUCUACAGAUGUAGAGAUAGAUCUAAAUCUGCUGGGACCUCCUGUUCAGCAAGGCAGGACCUGGCUUCUCCAUAGUCUUAACAAGAGAUGAUUCCUUGAUUUGAGGCUUCUGUAUUUCCACAGGCCAUCUGGAGACAAUCUUUGCCCUUUUUGAUCUUUUCAUCACAUCAAUGUUUGCAAGGGAAUCAAUUGGGUAAAUCCUCUCGCCCUGUCCAAAAUUCAAGAAACCUACCAUCUUGGACACAACCUUCAGCCAGGCCUGAACACCGAUAAAGAUUGAUGAAACAGGAACCAAAAAGUGUCAGUUUCAAACCAGGAGAUUGAUUUAAACCAAGCAACCACUGUGAAUAGUUAUAGCAGAGCUAGUAAAUGAAUGCUUACUAAGGUUGGGUUGAGAGUUCUGCAAGACACCUCUAUAGAAGAACGACUUACCAUCUUGGCAAGUUUGGAUCUUAUCAUUACGCAAUUUCUGGACUCCAUUCAAGCCUAAAGACAAUGAAACAUCCAAAGGGAAACCAGCGGACGGAGUGCUACCAGAUCCAGCAAAAGCUGUUGACAAAUAGCAAUUUGAAAGGUUGAGUUCAUUACUGCGAAUGUCGUAGGAAGAUUUUGAGACAUUUUGAGCAUUGCUGAUUUUACAACUAUAUUCAGAGAACUUACUUGCAUUCAUCGAGAAAGUUAAAUUUGAGCUGGACCUCUUAUGGAAAGCUAGAUUGUUCCCAACAACUUCACAAGAAUUGCCAGGUUGGUUGCUGGACAGGGGAUCAACGAUGGUGCUAGCAGAGCCAAUGGAAGCACAAGAAUUACUAGGGCAAUUCCUCCUCCAAGCUGCCUUCAACUGGACAUUAUGAGACCUAAGAUGACCUCUAAGAGAGCGAUGGUUAGCAAAUGAUUUUCUGCAAUAGAUGCAAGAAAAAGCACUAGUGCCCUUUUCUAGGUUUUCUCCGUCAGCAGCUGAAGGGAGGUUCGCCAUUGAAGUUGUAAACAAGACCCAAAAUAGGGUCAACAAGAAGAGAAGAGAAAGAGGAAAUGCAAGGGAAACCAUGCGGUGACGAAGAAUGCCAACUUUUUUCCCCGUUUUACAUUUUAGGAGAGAGAAAUGGGUCUUAUCGGUUAGACUAAUUAAUGUAAAAUGACAAUCCUAAUUAAAAUCAUUUAAGAAGAGGAAAGACAUAUACUAAAUAUGGAAAGACAUUGUUAGCAUUGAAUUAUAUGCAAUGGCAGCUAAACCUGGCCUUAUCCUUAAAGCACCAGCACC
RNAcentral lists this long non-coding RNA (41764 nucleotides) under Citrus maxima (pomelo). RNAcentral's name for it is "long non-coding RNA (CMAX_LNC001120)". The record is from RNAcentral. Lineage: Eukaryota; Viridiplantae; Streptophyta; Magnoliopsida; Sapindales; Rutaceae.